Long non-coding RNA from Neogale vison (American mink), 111 nucleotides. RefSeq lists it as uncharacterized. The record is from RefSeq and is a predicted model, not a curated record. The transcript has 3 exons. Lineage: Eukaryota; Metazoa; Chordata; Mammalia; Carnivora; Mustelidae.
CUCACCUUCAACCACAAGAUCGCAGUUCAAGAGAGGAAUGCUCUGGCUAACUGGAUGAAGGCUCAGUAUUGGGAAACAAGGAUGAUGCAGCAGAGCAGGGAGAACGCCUAC